UCGGGAAUAUUGCGCAAUGGAGGAAGCUCUGACGCAGUGACGCCGCGUAUAGGAAGAAGGUUUUCGGAUUGUAAACUAUUGUCGUUAGGGAAGAUAAAAGACUGUACCUAAGGAGGAAGCCCCGGCUAACUAUGUGCCAGCAGCCGCGGUAAUACAUAGGGGCAAGCGUUAUCCGGAAUUAUUGGGUGUAAAGGGUGCGUAGACGGAAGAACAAGUUGGUUGUGAAAUCCCUCGGCUCAACUGAGGAACUGCAACCAAAACUAUUCUCCUUGAGUGUCGGAGAGGAAAGUGGAAUUCCUAGUGUAGCGGUGAAAUGCGUAGAUAUUAGGAGGAACACCAGUGGCGAAGGCGACUUUCUGGACGAUAACUGACGUUGAGGCACGAAAGUGUGGGGAGCAAACAGGAUUAGAUACC
Molecule: ribosomal RNA, 414 nt
Filed under: uncultured bacterium
Lineage: Bacteria
Description: bacterial SSU rRNA
Rfam family: Bacterial small subunit ribosomal RNA
Source: RNAcentral